GGAUAACCUGCCCUUGGGUCCGGCAUAACCCCGGGAAACUGGGGAUAAUUCCGGAUAACGCACAUAUGCUGGAAUGCUUUAUGCGUCAAAUGGAUUCGUCUGCCCAAGGAUGGGUCUGCGGCCUAUCAGGUAGUAGUGGGUGUAAUGUACCUACUAGCCGACGACGGGUACGGGUUGUGAGAGCAAGAGCCCGGAGAUGGAUUCUGAGACAUGAAUCCAGGCCCUACGGGGCGCAGCAGGCGCGAAAACUUUACAAUGCGGGAAACCGUGAUAAGGGGACACCGAGUGCCAGCAUCAUAUGCUGGCUGUCCAGGUGUGUAAAAUACACCUGUUAGCAAGGGCCGGGCAAGACCGGUGCCAGCCGCCGCGGUAACACCGGCGGCCCGAGUGGUGAUCGUGAUUAUUGGGUCUAAAGGGUCCGUAGCCGGUUUGGUCAGUCCUCCGGGAAAUCUGAUAGCUCAACUAUUAGGCUUUCGGGGGAUACUGCCAGACUUGGAACCGGGAGAGGUAAGAGGUACUACAGGGGUAGGAGUGAAAUCUUGUAAUCCCUGUGGGACCACCUGUGGCGAAGGCGUCUUACCAGAACGGGUUCGACGGUGAGGGACGAAAGCUGGGGGCACGAACCGGAUUAGAUACCCGGGUAGUCCCAGCCGUAAACGAUGCUCGCUAGGUGUCAGGCAUGGCGCGACCGUGUCUGGUGCCGCAGGGAAGCCGUGAAGCGAGCCACCUGGGAAGUACGGCCGCAAGGCUGAAACUUAA
This 759-nucleotide ribosomal RNA is filed under the name uncultured archaeon. Its description in RNAcentral is "bacterial SSU rRNA". It matches the Rfam family "Archaeal small subunit ribosomal RNA", at positions 102 to 859 of the family's 1478-position model. The record is from RNAcentral.